CACACGGCGGGUGCUAACGUCCGUCGUGAAGAGGGAAACAACCCAGACCGCCAGCUAAGGUCCCAAAGUCAUGGUUAAGUGGGAAACGAUGUGGGAAGGCCCAGACAGCCAGGAUGUUGGCUUAGAAGCAGCCAUCAUUUAAAGAAAGCGUAAUAGCUCACUGGUCGAGUCGGCCUGCGCGGAAGAUGUAACGGGGCUAAACCAUGCACCGAAGCUGCGGCAGCGACGCUGAUGCGUUGUUGGGUAGGGGAGCGUUCUGUAAGCCUGCGAAGGUGUGCUGUGAGGCAUGCUGGAGGUAUCAGAAGUGCGAAUGCUGACAUAAGUAACGAUAAAGCGGGUGAAAAGCCCGCUCGCCGGAAGACCAAGGGUUCCUGUCCAACGUUAAUCGGGGCAGGGUGAGUCGACCCCUAAGGCGAGGCCGAAAGGCGUAGUCGAUGGGAAACAGGUUAAUAUUCCUGUGCUUGGUGUUACUGCGAAGGGGGGACGGAGAAGGCUAUGUUGGCCGGGCGACGGUUGUCCCGGUUUAAGCGUGUAGGCUGGUUUUCCAGGCAAAUCCGGAAAAUCAAGGCUGAGGCGUGAUGACGAGGCACUACGGUGCUGAAGCAACAAAUGCCCUGCUUCCAGGAAAAGCCUCUAAGCAUCAGGUAACAUCAAAUCGUACCCCAAACCGACACAGGUGGUCAGGUAGAGAAUACCAAGGCGCUUGAGAGAACUCGGGUGAAGGAACUAGGCAAAAUGGUGCCGUAACUUCGGGAGAAGGCACGCUGAUAUGUAGGUGAAGUCCCUCGCGGAUGGAGCUGAAAUCAGUCGAAGAUACCAGCUGGCUGCAACUGUUUAUUAAAAACACAGCACUGUGCAAACACGAAAGUGGACGUAUACGGUGUGACGCCUGCCCGGUGCCGGAAGGUUAAUUGAUGGGGUCAGCGCAAGCGAAGCUCUUGAUCGAAGCCCCGGUAAACGGCGGCCGUAACUAUAACGGUCCUAAGGUAGCGAAAUUCCUUGUCGGGUAAGUUCCGACCUGCACGAAUGGCGUAAUGAUGGCCAGGCUGUCUCCACCCGAGACUCAGUGAAAUUGAACUCGCUGUGAAGAUGCAGUGUACCCGCGGCAAGACGGAAAGACCCCGUGAACCUUUACUAUAGCUUGACACUGAACAUUGAGCCUUGAUGUGUAGGAUAGGUGGGAGGCUUUGAAGUGUGGACGCCAGUCUGCAUGGAGCCGACCUUGAAAUACCACCCUUUAAUGUUUGAUGUUCUAACGUGGACCCGUAAUCCGGGUUGCGGACAGUGUCUGGUGGGUAGUUUGACUGGGGCGGUCUCCUCCUAAAGAGUAACGGAGGAGCACGAAGGUUGGCUAAUCCUGGUCGGACAUCAGGAGGUUAGUGCAAUGGCAUAAGCCAGCUUGACUGCGAGCGUGACGGCGCGAGCAGGUGCGAAAGCAGGUCAUAGUGAUCCGGUGGUUCUGAAUGGAAGGGCCAUCGCUCAACGGAUAAAAGGUACUCCGGGGAUAACAGGCUGAUACCGCCCAAGAGUUCAUAUCGACGGCGGUGUUUGGCACCUCGAUGUCGGCUCAUCACAUCCUGGGGCUGAAGUAGGUCCCAAGGGUAUGGCUGUUCGCCAUUUAAAGUGGUACGCGAGCUGGGUUUAGAACGUCGUGAGACAGUUCGGUCCCUAUCUGCCGUGGGCGCUGGAGAACUGAGGGGGGCUGCUCCUAGUACGAGAGGACCGGAGUGGACGCAUCACUGGUGUUCGGGUUGUCAUGCCAAUGGCACUGCCCGGUAGCUAAAUGCGGAAGAGAUAAGUGCUGAAAGCAUCUAAGCACGAAACUUGCCCCGAGAUGAGUUCUCCCUGACUCCUUGAGAGUCCUGAAGGAACGUUGAAGACGACGACGUUGAUAGGCCGGGUGUGUAAGCGCAGCGAUGCGUUGAGCUAACCGGUACUAAUGAACCGUGAGG
RNAcentral lists this ribosomal RNA (1952 nucleotides) under Escherichia coli. RNAcentral describes it as "partial 23S ribosomal RNA". It matches the Rfam family "Bacterial large subunit ribosomal RNA", at positions 984 to 2915 of the family's 2925-position model. Lineage: Bacteria; Pseudomonadati; Pseudomonadota; Gammaproteobacteria; Enterobacterales; Enterobacteriaceae. The record is from RNAcentral.